GAGUGAGGCACGAAGCAACAAAAACUGCUAAUUUUUGUACCCCUGGUUAAACUCCACGGCUCAGCUCG
RNAcentral lists this transfer RNA (68 nucleotides) under Ilisha africana (West African ilisha). Its description in RNAcentral is "tRNA-Ser (AGY)". Lineage: Eukaryota; Metazoa; Chordata; Actinopteri; Clupeiformes; Pristigasteridae. The record is from RNAcentral.